Long non-coding RNA from Panicum virgatum (switchgrass), 3341 nucleotides. RefSeq lists it as uncharacterized. The record is from RefSeq and is a predicted model, not a curated record. The transcript has 2 exons. NCBI's taxonomy places the organism in Eukaryota, Viridiplantae, Streptophyta, Magnoliopsida, Poales, Poaceae.
CUGCCCCGCCGCUUGGGCAAAAAGGGCAGUCCCGCAUCGGCAGUUCCCCCUCCCCGUCUCGCGCUCCUCCUCGCGCCGCCGUCCUCCUUGCGGCGGCGUCGCCCUCCCCGUCUCGCGGCGACGCCGCCGCUCCCGCGUCGCCCUUCGCCUCCCAAAUCGACGCCCCCUCGCGUCGCUUCCCCCCACGCCCUCGCCCGGCCCUAGCUCUGCCUGGCCGCCGGCUCACCUCCUCUCCAUCGCCCUUGCGCCACUCCCUCCCACCGCCCUCGCCGACUAUCUCGACCGCAUUAUAUUCCCGGAUCACCGCUCGCCAAAAUCGCCCUCCCCAAAGCUCACCGACACCACCAUCAAGCCGCCCCCGGCCUGCCCCACGCGCGACGCUCGCCCUCCUCCGAGCGCGCCGGGCGCCUCCGGCCUCCCCGCUCUCUGCGGCCCCCGCGAGCUCCGGGUUCCUCCGCCCUCCCCUGCGCUCCGGGGGGCGCUGCGGUCUGCGGAUGCGCCUCGACUCCCGCCGCGGCCACGGAGUCCGCGGAUCCGCCGCCGCCCUGGAUAGCACGCCCCGUGCCCUGUUGCAAAGCCGCCAACACCGCGACUCCUGCAGCAGCUGCGGAUCCCGCGGAUCGCGCCGCGGGCCCCGCAGAAGGUGACGGGCCAGGUCGAUCCCAUGCCUCCUUUCCUCCACGACCUCCUCACUCCCUCCAGGACGUCGUAGUCCUGGUGUGACGCCCCCACUCUCCUGCUAGCCAUCUGCGAUGACAGCCGCGCGCACCCGCUUCCCAACAGGCCUUCGUGUUUAUUCGUCGAUCGCAAGUUUGUGUCCUGACCUGGUUGGUUGUGGUUCCUUGCAGCGCACAGUUGUUCACAUGUGGUGGAACCACCGAGACCAUCACAGCUUGAUGUUCUUUGAGCUUUCAGAUCUUUGCUGUGUCUCCGAUUUGCCGACAAAUUCAUUUGCCGCACUCAAGGAUUUGCUGACAAAUUAGAUCUGUAAAGAAUUUGUUACUCAAAUUCAUUUGCUGCACUCCGAGGCUACUGGGAAGCCAGCACUGUUAUUCAGCCGUUAUCAAUGGGGAGUACGAAGCAGCACAUCAAACACGCUCAUCAACAUGUGAAGGUUCACCUUAUCAAGGCUGCAGGUGUGUAUUGUGGAUUCAACCUGUUUCUCCUCUAGCUUCUCGAUCCAUCUGUUGUUCGCCGCUAAAUGCCAGAAUGGAUAGAUUUUUUGAACUGGGUAAAUGCAAGGAACAUGCCAGAAUGCUAGAAUGAGAUUACAGUUCCAGAAAUUCAUGAACUAUCUUUUUGCACGAGACAACUUGUAAUACGUUACUUUAGAUCACAUGAAACAUGUUGGAUAAAUCUGGGUUGCAAUGGCAUGCAAAGCAAUAACAUUGUUUCUGUGUUUUGUUGCCUACUGAGUUUAUUUUCCCCUUCAUACAACAGUAUGGCAGUAACAACAUGCUAUGUGUUCCAAUGCUUCCUUAGUGCUUUUAGUGCCAGCUAAUCUGUGUACAUUUCUUUUCUAGGAAGUUAAUGCUAUAUGUGCGUUAAUGCUAAUUGCUUAAAGAAAUUUCUACUGUAAAAUUAAGCUAUUUGAUUUCAAGCAAGUAGAAUUUAUGGAUAUGUUGUGCUAUAGAAUAUUUUAGUAAUUGCAUAUGCAGAUUAAUUUUUUGAGGAAAAGUUAUAAUACUUUGGUUUCAUGUCGUAUUCAUAUAAAGUGUUUAAUUUCUUGCCAAGAUAAAAUUGCUAGAUGGAAUCACUAAUGUUGUUGACUAAGUGGCAAUUUGUCAGUUCUAUAGUUUUCCCAGGAGUGGCGCAGCGAGUCUAUAUGCCCGUCCGCUUCCUCCAAGGAGUCUAAUUGCGGGUCAGUAUCUACAUGCAAGAUAUAGUCUGCUACAUCACUUUUAUUUUGUUGUAGGGAUUCAUCUCAACUUUUUACAUAAGUAGUUCUGUCAGGUAGCUAAAUUGAUAAUUGAAUGGUUACAAUUAGAUUUUGUUUGAUCUCCUGGUUCUAUCAGAAAGAAUGCAAAUAAUUUCCAUUCUGCUUCAAAAUAGUAAUACAGAAAAUUGUUUUUUCAUUAGCUUUUUUCAUUUGCGAAGCCUUUUUUGCAAAUGCUUAUUUCAUCUUGUGAUUUCAAAAUAUGUUUUUUUUUCAUGCUCCUAUUAUUGCACUAAAUAAAUUCGGAUCCCGUAACAACACACGGGCAUGAUGGAGACCAUAUUGAUUCUGAUCUUUUAGUUGUUUCCUGCAAGAUUUUAACUAUUCUGCUUCUUGUACCCUGGGAAAAAAAUUUGGUGGGACGGGAUGCAAACCUGCUCCUUUGCAACCCUGGUUCAGAUGCAUGCCACCUGUCCACCUAGACCAUCAGUCGCAGGCCCUGCACCUUGAUCUGCUUGGCUCCUCCAAUCCAAGCUCCAAGCACAGGUCGAUUUCUAGGUGCCCAGCAGGCCAGCAGGCUUGGCUCAGCUCCCUGCAGGAGCCUCUCUCGUGUACUGCCACCGCCGCCACCGCAGGUUAUCUCGUAUUCUCAUCUCCCCCGCCGCCGUGUUUCACUCCAUUCACCUAGGACUAGGAUGAUAUCCUAUGCUUGGAUCCAUUUCUUCACCGUCACAUCCACCUGUGUGAUCCGCCGCCGCCGCUGUGUUCCGCUCUGCAGAUCUCGUAUGCCUCCGCCUCUGUAUGAUUAUUGCCGUUGGUGAGUGAAGAUACGAUUUAUUUCUGGUAAUAUGUUCCCUUUUGGAUGCAGUUUCAAUUGAUUCCCUAGCUUGUGGAAGGUUAACUGCAGAAUAAAGCACCGUGUUAAUGUCGCUAUGUCUCACAAAGACCAAAUAUUCAGUCGGAUCAUUGAUAGAAAUCAAAAUCAUGCAAGUCCUAAUAGGCUAGAAUUUCUGAAUACUGGAUUAAGCAAAUAUGGGUCAUUUAGCACCUUUAGUUCGAGGACAUAACUACUUGGUGUCCUGUUUAAUCAUUUUUGUAGGGAUCAAAGGACCAUAUGGAUGGUUGACAGGGAAACCCAUUCACAGGAUUCGGAAACUUGAUGGAAAGAUGAUGCUGUCAUGUUGUACAGCCAAGCCAGUACUGUAUAUACUGGAUUCCAUUUGCUGCAGUUCUGGAAAUAUUUCGAUGUAUAGUGUGUAGUUAUAAAAUUGUGCAUUUCCAUACCAAUUACAGUAGUUAUCAUAUUGUUCAAUUCUGGAUGUGUUAGUAAAAGUGGUUGUUCUGAUAUAAAUAUUAAUAUCCUAAAAAUUUGGGUUUGUCUCACUCAUUCUGGGGGUCCGGAAUACAGCAUGUAUGUGCUACAAGAAUGAGAUUGUUCUAAAAUAAAUAUUGAUGUUCUGAAAAA